CUUCUCCGUGGAGAUCUUUUCUCUGGAGUUUUUGGUGAGCCCUGAUCCUCCGAAGGAGGUUCGAAAUGUAAAUGUGGAAGAAAAUGUGCCGAUCUUACAGAAGAGCCACAUACAUGAUGAGAAGUGUUCUGUAGUACCAAAGGGCAGGAUGCCAUCAUCCCCUUACUACACUGACCAAAAGACAGCUUAAUGAAAGCAAGAAGAACAGCCAAAAGUGGGUUUAUUGCAGCUGGUAGUUCCUGAGAUGCUUGCAGAGGACGGGAUACUAUAAACUGAUUUACCCUGUCUUGUUCUAAAGAUGAUGUCAGUGUGGUUGACUCUCAGGGACUUAAGGACUAAAUGCUCUGCAUGGCUUAAAAGAAAUCUCUUUUAUUGCAUAUCCUCAAACUUCCGUUCUUCCAAAAAUGCUUGCUGAUAACCAUCUCAAAUGAUCAAAUAAUUGUAGAAUAUCCUGAGUUGGAAGGAACCCACAAAGAUCACCCACGUCCAACUCCUGGAUCUGUGCUGGAUCACCCAAAAUUCAAACCCUUUAUCUGAGAGUGUUGUCCCAACUCCAGCAGGUUUGGUGCCGUGCCCACUUCCCCUGCUUUCAGGGAAUAACCUUUUCCUAACACCCAACUUGACUCUCCCCUGACACAGCUCCAUGCCUUUCCCUUGGGCCCUGUUGCUGUCACAGAAAGCAGAGCUCGGUGCUGCCCCUCUGCUCCCUCUGAGGAGCUUUAGGUUGCCAUGAGGCAACCCCACAGUCUGAUCUUCUCUAGGUUUGCCUGUACCCGGGUUUCUCUAGGCUUGCCAGCACUUGCUAUUUUAUACUGUAUGCACUUGGUGAUUGCCCAGCCCUCUAGUCUGUCAAGAGCUCUCUGCAAGGCCUCUCUACCCUUGAGGGACUCAACAGCUCAUUCUAAUUCAGCUGCAAACUUAGUAUGCAUGUCAAUCUUGUGUCCACAUCAUUCAUGCAGAUGCUGAAGAGAACUGACCCUGGAAUGGAGCCCUGUGGAACCCCACUAGGGACAGGUCUCCAGCCUGGCAUAACCUCGUUUGAGCCAGACCUGUCAGCAAAUUGUUUUACCUACUGUAUAAGGUAUUUGUCUAGCUGUACACAGGACAUUUUGUCCAGAAGGAUACUAUGAGAAACCAUUGAGAGAUUUACUGAAACUCAAAAAUAUUACAUCAUCUGGCUUCCCUUUGUUAAUUAGGUGAAUAACAUUGUCAUAAAAGGAAAUUAAGAUAGUUAAACAGGACUUAUCCCAGAGAGAGAAAGGAAGAGGCAGAGGUAUUGGGGCAAUGAUUCAGAUCUCAUAGGGCUGAGGGACACGAUUUUUAGAUAUGCUUCCAGCAGUAGAUAUGGCUUGUACAGUCACUGUGCAGAGAAGGUUGGGUCAAGGUCCCUUUUAAUGUCCUCAUGUGAAAAUGAUGCGUCCUACAACUGGGACUUAGUAGUUGUGGGAGGAUUGGGAAUCUCUGCUUUUUAGCUCCACAAGAAAGUUUGUGCCAAUGAAAUGAUGUUCUCAUCGCUCAUCUUCUGGUGGACUUUUCUUAUCAGGAAACAUGAAAGAGGAGCUUUAUCUUUAGUAGAAAAAAAAAAAAACCUCCAUGUUUUUGAAAUGUGAUAUAUUGGGUUUAAGGAAUAGCCGUAUGAAGUUCAAGCUCGCAUUACAUCAUCUUUACUGUUAACAUAUAUUUGCCAAGCAAUAUGACAUGCUCAGGAGAACCUUAGCUUGGCUGAGUUUCAGUGGUUUGAUAUUUUCACAUUUCUCUGUGUUUUUAAUCUUUUUUUAUAAUAUUUCUUCAGAGAAUGCUCUAAGCUUUAGUCUCGCUUUGAUUCCUCUUAUUCUGUUAGUUAUGUGUGAUUUAAACUGCAGGAUCAAGUAAGACAAUAACCAGGUUAGCUUUUCAAUCAAAAGAAAUGAAAAGAAAUAGAAUGGUUAGAAAACUGGAAAGGAUUGUCUCAGUCUCUGUAAGAACUACACAUAGAUAUUAACUGAUGGAUUUUAAUGCCUGUAUUUUAAAGUUGGCUUAUAUGACUUUUAUU
Long non-coding RNA from Gallus gallus (chicken), 2032 nucleotides. NCBI's taxonomy places the organism in Eukaryota, Metazoa, Chordata, Aves, Galliformes, Phasianidae. The record is from Ensembl.